Long non-coding RNA from Manis javanica (Malayan pangolin), 962 nucleotides. RefSeq lists it as uncharacterized. NCBI's taxonomy places the organism in Eukaryota, Metazoa, Chordata, Mammalia, Pholidota, Manidae. The record is from RefSeq and is a predicted model, not a curated record.
CCUGGGGUGAGGCGACUGCCGUGACUCCACGCAGCUUCCGGGACCACGGUGCCACCUUAGCCUCUCUGAGAAAGCUCCAGAACGCAGCCAGAGACUCUGCGGGUCCAGAGUCCCCCCACUGCACGCACGGGCAGCCCAGCCGACAGGCCAUUCACCCACUCCACAGACACGGGCAGACUUUGGAGAUUCGCCAGACUUUGGAGAUUCACAGACGCCACUCCUACCCGCUGGAAGCGACUAUCUGAUGAGGAAAUAAAUACACAACUGAUUGUUUUCUUGUCAACUGCUGCGAAGAAGACGAAUGGGGGCUGCAGAAGCGUAACUGCGGUGUCCACCUGGAGGGGGCGCUGCUCGCUGGGAGCCAGUCUUCUCGCCCCCGGAGGACGCACGUGCUGCUGGCCUGCGGGCGCUCCAGGUCGCUGGCCGGGAUUACUGCUGACACAGUACCAGGCGCGCGUGGACACCUCCAGGCCGUGGACUCGGGGGUUUUCCACUUUGGCCCGGUGGGUGAGGACCCCUGAGUGCCCGGAGGAGCGGCGGGAGCCAGGCGGGCUGCGGGCCCGGCCUUCAGGGGCAGCGUCCUUCCUGCGAGGUCGGCCCGGCACUGGACAGGUGCUCCUACCCAGGGAGCCCUUGGAUGGAGGUGCAACACGUUCAAGAAGAUACUUUCCAUUUCCCAGCAAGACAGAAAGGGACGUGAUGGCCUCUCCCUGGCAUGGCUCAGACGCCACACGGAAGGUGUCCUGGCCGGAAGCGUGUCCCUUGGCAGGGGCUACGGGGCGUGAUGCCUGUCCAAGUCAUGGUGUCCCGCCCUCCGGUGGUCACCAGGGAGCGCGUGGAGCAGGAACCGACUGACACCGCCACCCAGCCACACACAGCAUGUGUCAUGCAAAUCCACGGGAGUUUCUGUGGAACCAGAAGGAGAAGGACCACAGCCAGAGAGCCCCCUCCUCGGGCAGCUG